Molecule: ribosomal RNA, 514 nt
Filed under: uncultured bacterium
Lineage: Bacteria
Description: bacterial SSU rRNA
Rfam family: Bacterial small subunit ribosomal RNA
Source: RNAcentral
AGCGAACGCUGGCGGCAGGCCUAACACAUGCAAGUCGAACGGACCCUUCGGGGUUAGUGGCGGACGGGUGAGUAACACGUGGGAACGUGCCUUUAGGUUCGGAAUAGCUCCUGGAAACGGGUGGUAAUGCCGAAUGUGCCCUUCGGGGGAAAGAUUUAUCGCCUUUAGAGCGGCCCGCGUCUGAUUAGCUUGUUGGUGGGGUAAUGGCCCACCAAGGCUACGAUCAGUAGCUGGUCUGAGAGGAUGACCAGCCACAUUGGGACUGAGACACGGCCCAAACUCCUACGGGAGGCAGCAGUGGGGAAUCUUGCGCAAUGGGCGAAAGCCUGACGCAGCCAUGCCGCGUGUAUGAUGAAGGUCUUAGGAUUGUAAAAUACUUUCACCGGUGAAGAUAAUGACUGUAGCCGGAGAAGAAGCCCCGGCUAACUUCGUGCCAGCAGCCGCGGUAAUACGAAGGGGGCUAGCGUUGCUCGGAAUUACCGGGCGUAAAGGGAGCGUAGGCGGACAUUUAAGU